CAUACCAUCAUGCCGACGUCGUACGAUGAGCCGCUUUGGUGGGGAUUAUUGGGGAGUGGGUGAGUAACAUGUGGUCAAUCUGCCCGGGACUCUGGGACAAGCCCUGGAAACGGGGUCUAAUGCUGGAUAGUGAUUACCUUGGGCAUCCAAUUGGUUCGAACGCUCCGGCGGUGCCGGAUGAACCCGCGGCCUAUCUUUUUGUUGGUGAGGUAAUGGCUCACCAAGGCGACCACUGUACCCCGGCCUGAGAGGGCGACCGGCCCACUGGGACUGGGACUGGCCCUUCUCCUCCGGGAGGCCUUCCUGGGGAAUAUUGCCCAAGGGCCCAAAGCCUGAUGCAGCGACGCCGGGUGAGGGAUGACGGCCUUCGGGUUGGUUGCCUCUUUUGGCAGGGAAAAACCAAAAUUGACGGUACCUGCCUAACAACCGCCGUCUAACUACUUGCCACCAACCGCGGUAAUACGUACGGCGCAGGCGUUGUCCGGAAUUAUUGGGCGUAUAGAGCUCGUAUGCGGCUUGCCACGACUUUUGUGAAAUGCCGGGGCUUAUGCGCGGGUCUGCAGUCAAUACGGUGAGGCUAGAGCUCGGUAGGGGAGAUCCCAAUUCCUGGUGUAACGGUGAUAUGCGCAGAUAUCACGACGAACACCGGUGGCCACGGCGGAUCUCUGCCCCUAUACUGACGCUGACGAGCGAAAUCGUGGCGAGUUCACUCGAUUAGAUAUCCCUGCUAGUCCACGACUAUAAAC
This 746-nucleotide ribosomal RNA is filed under the name Streptomyces sp. RNAcentral's name for it is "bacterial SSU rRNA". It matches the Rfam family "Bacterial small subunit ribosomal RNA", at positions 47 to 807 of the family's 1533-position model. Lineage: Bacteria; Bacillati; Actinomycetota; Actinomycetes; Kitasatosporales; Streptomycetaceae. The record is from RNAcentral.